This 781-nucleotide ribosomal RNA is filed under the name uncultured Neocallimastigales. RNAcentral's name for it is "partial large subunit ribosomal RNA". It matches the Rfam family "Eukaryotic large subunit ribosomal RNA", at positions 23 to 647 of the family's 3401-position model. The record is from RNAcentral. Lineage: Eukaryota; Fungi; Neocallimastigomycota; Neocallimastigomycetes; Neocallimastigales.
AGAGAGAGACAUGCGCGCAUAUCAAUAAGCGGAGGAAAAGAAACUAACGAGGAUUCCCUUAGUAACGGCGAGUGAAGCGGGAAGAGCUCUAAAUUUGAAAUCUUCAAGGUUCUACCUUGACGAAUUGUAGUUUAUAGAAGUGUUUUCUGUUAGUGGAGUGGUAAAAGUUCUUUGGAAUAGGACAUCAUAGAGGGUGAGAAUCCCGUAUUUGACCAUUAUUUUCGGCUGUGUGAUACACUUUCAAAGAGUCGGAUUGUUUGGGAAUGCAGUCCAAAAUGGGUGGUAAAUUUCAUCUAAAGCUAAAUAUUGGCGAGAGACCGAUAGCGAACAAGUACCGUGAGGGAAAGAUGAAAAGAACUUUGAAAAGAGAGUUAAACAGUACGUGAAAUUGUCAAAAGGGAAGCGUUUGACACCAGUGUUGUUUUCUCGAAAAUCAAUUAAAAAUGGCUGGGAUUUUGCGUUGUAUUGACUUUAUCAGCUUUCUGCACCUUUUUUCCUUAUCUUUUUUAAUGCACUUUUCGUUUAACAAGUCAACAUCAAUUUCUUUUGUUGUAAAAGAGUCAUUGGAAGGUGGCUUUCAUUUCGGAUGAAAGUGUUUAUAGCCUUUGACUUCUGCAAUCGGAGAGAUUGAGGUCUGCAGCGUAGAUCCUUCGGGGUUAGAUAGCAUUUGUGCUAAGUUAUAGCUUUUCAUAGACAACAUGUCGACUAUGAUUAAGUCAUGUAGCUUACUCGCUUAUGCUAUUUUACCUACGCUUAGGAUGUUGAUCUGUAGUGCGUGCGC